Molecule: long non-coding RNA, 698 nt
Organism: Alnus glutinosa
Lineage: Eukaryota; Viridiplantae; Streptophyta; Magnoliopsida; Fagales; Betulaceae
Exons: 3
Source: RefSeq, a predicted model, not a curated record
UCUCCCUUUUCUCUUUCUCCCUUGUCCGGAUACCCCUCACUCCCUCACCACUCAUUUUUCUCUUCUUUCUUUUUCUUCUCCCAUCCGACGCCUUUUCUCUCUUUCUCUUCUCUUCUCUUCUUCCACCCGACACCAUCAUCUCCCUCUCCUCUUCUCUUUGUUCACACGUUCCCAGCCCAUCUCCCCUCUUUCAUCAUCUUUCUCUCUUCAUCUAGCACCCAUACACAACGCAGAUGACAACUCGGGAGAGAGAUGAUCGAGAUUGAGAGAGAGAUGAGUCGAGAGAGACACCCGUGAAUGAGAGAGCUCGUGAUAGUGAGAGCCACCGCAUGGAAGAGCGCUUAAGAACUGUGAUUUUCGUGGGGUUAAGCUGCUGGAAAUAGAAUCAAAAAAAUUGAUGGAGAUAAGUCGAUAUUUGAGGCAGCAUGCUUGCACAAUAGCUGGAAAGUCUCAGCUUUUUAUAAACUCUUAUGCUAAAGCUCUUGAGGAUUUAGAGCAGCUGUUGAAUUUCAUUGGUGCAGUACAAGAUUGAUAUACAACAGGACGUCAAGCAAAAUAAUAUGGUGUUUUGGUCUUUUUGUAGGUUUUUUUGUAAUUAAGGAAUUGAAGCAAAGGUACUAUAUAUAUGUACAUUGCUUUUAGGUGUUUGUUUAUUUUGAAACAAUGGUUUUUUCAAUAGCGUAAAUAAAAUUGUGCAU